CUCUUGUCUCUGAUAAAGGCAAGCAACUUUUUCAUUUGGUGAGGAAAUGGAGCUAUAUGAUCAUGCAUUCCAGAAUCAGUCAAUUCAAAAAGGAAGUACUUUUCAUGUUUAUACAAAUGUAGUAGAAUCUUGUUGCUACAGCUUAUUUUUUGUUUCUGUGAAGCAGCAGUCCUUUUUCAUUGGCCUUUUUUCCUGCAGUAAAUGCUCAUAAGAACUGUACCAUUUACCUCAGGAUAUCAUUGUGUUUGUAAUUGGAGGAGCCACCUAUGAAGAGGCUCUAACAGUUUAUAACCUGAACCGCACCACUCCUGGAGUGAGGAUUGUCCUGGGAGGCACCACAGUGCACAACACGAAAAGUUUCCUAGAGGAAGUUCUGGCUUCUGGACUGCACAGCCGAAGCAAGGAGAGCUCUCAAGUCACAUCAAGGUCAGCGAGCAGAAGAUGAAACGGUGGUUGGGGGAAGGGCACAGCUUCCUCUCUUGUCCCCACUACAGGCUUUCCCUACUAAACAAAGGUGUUGGAGAGCAGCUUUGGGUUCUGUGCUGGUUGUUAGAACUCAUCUCCAGGUAGCCCACGGAUACGUGGUUGGCACAGACACAAGACUCCCAGAGUUGUCCUAACAAUAAGUCUGAGCCCAUCUCAACCCACUUUUCUCCGGUAGUCUUUAUGUAUCUAUUAGCACAAUCACUUCAGUUACUGAUGAAUUUUGUUGGGAUCUGACUUGGGGAAAGGGUUAUCAGAGCCUAGAGGGGCUUAAAAAGUAAUCAUUUGAUGUACAUACCACAUUCCUUGGCUUCCUUUCUCUUCCCUUAACCCUUUCUGCUUUUCAUUAACCACAUUCCUGCACAACUCAUUUCUGAAAACGUACCAUGUUUCUUUACAGAGCCAUCCAAAAAAUUUUUGUCCCUACAUAGCAAUUUUCUGUGGCACUGAGAAACCAUGUAUGACCACAAUAAAAAUCCAUUUUGUGAAAGGA
RNAcentral lists this small RNA (976 nucleotides) under Pan troglodytes (chimpanzee). RNAcentral describes it as "processed transcript". The record is from RNAcentral. Lineage: Eukaryota; Metazoa; Chordata; Mammalia; Primates; Hominidae.